RNAcentral lists this transfer RNA (87 nucleotides) under Phycisphaerales bacterium. Its description in RNAcentral is "tRNA-Ser". It matches the Rfam family "tRNA". From Rfam's summary of the family: Transfer RNA (tRNA) molecules are approximately 80 nucleotides in length. The record is from RNAcentral. Lineage: Bacteria; Pseudomonadati; Planctomycetota; Phycisphaerae; Phycisphaerales.
GGAGAGGUGUCCGAGUGGCUGAAGGAGCCGGUUUCGAAAACCGGUGUGCCCGUAAGGGUACCGCGGGUUCGAAUCCCGCUCUCUCCG